RNAcentral lists this long non-coding RNA (233 nucleotides) under Manihot esculenta (cassava). RNAcentral describes it as "long non-coding RNA (MESC_LNC012389)". Lineage: Eukaryota; Viridiplantae; Streptophyta; Magnoliopsida; Malpighiales; Euphorbiaceae. The record is from RNAcentral.
GAAAAUGGUCCAAAAAACAAAACAAGUCCAACAUAUUUCAGAGCACCAAUUAGACAAUUUCAUAAGAAAACGAUAAGCACAGACACAUACAUCAUGAAAGUACCAAUAUCAUUUCGAUGCAUUCAAGUUCAGAGAUAAAAAAGCACUAUCAGACUUCUUAAAAGUUAGAGAAUUGCAAUACAGCCCCAGCGAGAUGCCAUCCAUCCCUUGCAUGUGAAAAAAACAAUCCAAAC